UCCCCCCUCCUCCUCAUUUUCGUUUCAAACCUAGAUGUUGGUUUCCUAUAGUAUAACCACUGCGUACUUCGAUUGCUCGCAUGCACCUUGAUUUCCAUUAAGCAAUAUUUUGCAUCUGCCACUGGGCAGUGUGAUGCUCAAACUUUUGAGUGACGCUUGUGGACUUUGGAUUGCUUACAGGUUGGUGGAAAUUCAUUUUUUUUUUGAGUUAGCCGAAUAUUAGGUGUUCGUUGAAAUAAAACAUAUGUAUGUGUGACCCUUAGGUGUUCGUUGAAAGUCCCCAUACGAGUUGAUGUUUCAGAUUUUAAGUAGUGUGUGUUCUUCAAUGGACCAAUUCAUGGCUUUCAUCUUUAAUGCGUGUGUCUUCAUGUUUUGUAGGCAGUCACCACACAUAACUAGCCAAGCCCCUGAUGGCCCGAUCAUGCUCGCGGUUGGCUAUUUUAAAAUGUUUCUCUUUUAUCUGUUGUGUGCUCAUUGAACUAUGGUGAUUAUGCUUGUCAGUUCGUUAUCAAGGUGAGUUGAGGUAGAUAGCACGGGCUGAUAUUGAAAAAGAAAAUGUCAUUGUGAUGGUAAGCAAAAUAUUAUGUUUUCAUUAGUGAAGGACUAUAGAGAGUAAGAGGUCUUGAUGAGAUGCUUACAUGACGUGAAUAAUUAAUUUUAGGUGUAUCAUGGGCCCUGCUUCAUUGUUCAGUUAUGUCGCUUGUAUUCGUGGAUCAAUUGCUGGACAUAUAAAGUUCAGUUUGCACAGAUAGCAAAAGUUGCAAAACUAGGUGUGCUGAAUUUUGUUCAAAGUGCAACCUUCUAUUACCGAAAAAGGGUUUUCCCCCGCUUUGUAUACAAAGCAGCCAGCCGAACCAUACAGGGAUAGGUGCUGGGGCGGAAGCAGCACAGUCACGCCCAAAAGAAACGACAAAGAAAGAGCAAAAAAACCAAUGCCGACAACGGCGGAUCAACAAAAAACGAAGAAGCCUCGUGAUCGCUGCGCCCACCGAGAUCUUCCACUAGGCUCCAAGACUCCGAAGCGCCGGCACCUAUCAACACCUCGAGGAAGGAUCGCGACGAUGACGACGCUGUUGCCAAUGGUUUCCCCCGGUACACGACGAGGCGAGAGGAUGGGUAAGUGCAACCUUCUAUUUGAUGAAGCAAAUAAGGUUUACCUGUAUACCAACUGUAAAAGAGUUACGACACAAGGUCCAAAUCACUUUUUUUGUACUACACCAACAAUAAAAGAGUUACAACACAAGGUCAAGAUCACCUUUUUUGUACUACACUGGGAUUGAUCCUGUAUGUUGUUGUGGCAACCCUGUUUUACUUUGGUCUAUUUUCUGGUGUAUUUCUGCUUACUGAAAAUAGAUGGAAAUUGUAGCAUAUGAUUGCAUUGCCUGAAUUGCCCUUGACAGGUUGCAGUGUGUGUACGGCAUCUUAUAUAUACUAUGGGUGGCUAAUUUAGGUGGUUACGACCACUAUCUUGCCUUCUUACUCUCUUGGGAGGGAGGGGUUGAAGAAGAAGUAUGCCCCGUUGACAAUCGAUGAUAAAUCAUCAGAAUAUGUGUAGGAGAAUUGGACGAUUUUAAUACUCCCUCCGUUCCUAAAUAUAAGUCGAUAUUUUGAUAAGGCUCCUACAUUGCCGACGAGUGCUAGCGGAAGAGGAACCGACUACACCUCUAAGGGUGUGCGCACGAGGAUCAUUGAGGAGACGGGAACCAUGUCAUCUCCCCUAGCUUGCGAGCCCUUCAAGCAUGAUGCCAACCCAGAAACAUGGUUUCGCUUCCAUGUGGAAGGACAUGAUAGGCAGGGUAGAUGGAGGCGAGAUUAAGGAGCUCUAAGGGUGUGCGCACGGGGAUCACUGAGGAGACGGGAACCAUGUCAUCUCCCCUAGCUUGCGAUCCCUUCAAGCAUGACGCCAACCCAGUCAGUACAUCAACAUAUACAGUCAUUUAUAUCUAUAUUUGUAUUCAGUUAUGUAAGUUGCAUCUUUAUCUACGCCAUACAUUUUUUGUUGAUGCACUGUUAUGCUAUAUUUUUAAAUUCAAAACCGACCACAAGAUCCUUGAUUUGUGUAAUUCAUCUGAGGUUUGUUUGUUCUUCAGAUCAUAGAUGAGGAAUCUUGUCAAAGAGUCUGAUUUGC
This is a long non-coding RNA of Triticum dicoccoides, 2128 nucleotides long. RefSeq lists it as uncharacterized. The record is from RefSeq and is a predicted model, not a curated record. Lineage: Eukaryota; Viridiplantae; Streptophyta; Magnoliopsida; Poales; Poaceae. The transcript is spliced from 4 exons.